GACGAACGCUGGCGGCGUGCUUAACACAUGCAAGUCGAACGCUGAAGCUUGGUGCUUGCACUGGGUGGAUGAGUGGCGAACGGGUGAGUAAUACGUGAGUAACCUGCCCUUGACUCUGGGAUAAGCCUGGGAAACUGGGUCUAAUACUGGAUACGACAUGCCACUGCAUGGUGGUGUGUGGAAAGGGUUUUACUGGUUUUGGAUGGGCUCACGGCCUAUCAGCUUGUUGGUGGGGUAAUGGCCUACCAAGGCGACGACGGGUAGCCAGCCUGAGAGGGUGACCGGCCACACUGGGACUGAGACACGGCCCAGACUCCUACGGGAGGCAGCAGUGGGGAAUAUUGCACAAUGGGCGGAAGCCUGAUGCAGCGACGCCGCGUGAGGGAUGACGGCCUUCGGGUUGUAAACCUCUUUCAGCACGGAAGAAGCGAGAGUGACGGUACGUGCAGAAGAAGCGCCGGCUAACUACGUG
RNAcentral lists this ribosomal RNA (472 nucleotides) under uncultured bacterium. RNAcentral describes it as "partial 16S ribosomal RNA". It matches the Rfam family "Bacterial small subunit ribosomal RNA", at positions 28 to 507 of the family's 1533-position model. The record is from RNAcentral.